RNAcentral lists this ribosomal RNA (157 nucleotides) under Lipomyces doorenjongii. RNAcentral's name for it is "5.8S ribosomal RNA". It matches the Rfam family "5.8S ribosomal RNA". Rfam says of the family: 5.8S ribosomal RNA (5.8S rRNA) is a component of the large subunit of the eukaryotic ribosome. It is transcribed by RNA polymerase I as part of the 45S precursor that also contains 18S and 28S rRNA. Functionally, it is thought that 5.8S rRNA may be involved in ribosome translocation. The record is from RNAcentral. Lineage: Eukaryota; Fungi; Ascomycota; Lipomycetes; Lipomycetales; Lipomycetaceae.
AACUUUCAACAACGGAUCUCUUGGUUCUCGCAUCGAUGAAGAACGCAGCAAAAUGCGAUAAGUAUUGUGAAUUGCAGGAUUUUGUGAAUCAUCGAAUUUUUGAACGCACAUUGCACCUUCUGGUAUUCCGGAGGGUAUGCCUGUUUGAGCGUCAUUU